CGGGGUGUAGCUCAGUUUGGUAGAGUGCCUGGAUGGGGGCCAGGAGGCCAGCGGUUCAAGUCCGCGCACCCCGACCA
RNAcentral lists this transfer RNA (77 nucleotides) under Armatimonadota bacterium. RNAcentral's name for it is "Armatimonadetes bacterium (sediment metagenome) tRNA-Pro". It matches the Rfam family "tRNA". From Rfam's summary of the family: Transfer RNA (tRNA) molecules are approximately 80 nucleotides in length. Their secondary structure includes four short double-helical elements and three loops (D, anti-codon, and T loops). The record is from RNAcentral. Lineage: Bacteria; Bacillati; Armatimonadota.